GUUGACCUCGGAUCAGGUAGGGAUACCCGCUGAACUUAAGCAUAUCAAUAAGCGGAGGAAAAGAAACCAACCGGGAUUGCCUCAGUAACGGCGAGUGAAGCGGCAACAGCUCAAAUUUGAAAUCUGGCUCUUUCGGAGUCCGAGUUGUAAUUUGCAGAGGGUGUUUCGGGCGUGAGACUUGUCUAAGUCCUUUGGAACAAGGCGU
This 205-nucleotide ribosomal RNA is filed under the name Pannaria euphylla. RNAcentral describes it as "partial 26S ribosomal RNA". It matches the Rfam family "Eukaryotic large subunit ribosomal RNA", at positions 1 to 203 of the family's 3401-position model. Lineage: Eukaryota; Fungi; Ascomycota; Lecanoromycetes; Peltigerales; Pannariaceae. The record is from RNAcentral.